UAUUAAAAGGAUUAAAAAUAAUUCUGAUGUAUUAUUUCAAAUAAUAGAGUACCAUAUAUAUACAUACAAGGAUCCUAUAAUNCUUCAUCUAUUAAAGGAAAAACAUGUGCACAAAUCUGCACAAAUUAUAAUAAUAUCUAAAAUAUAACUAACAUAAUGUUUGAUUGCCUAAUAUCCUUUAAUAGAAUAUUUGACAUAUCUUAACACCCCCACUCAAGUUGGUGCAUGGAUAUCACACAUUCCCAACUUGAAUAGAGACUCAUCAAAAAAUCUUC
Molecule: long non-coding RNA, 275 nt
Filed under: Vigna radiata
Lineage: Eukaryota; Viridiplantae; Streptophyta; Magnoliopsida; Fabales; Fabaceae
Description: long non-coding RNA (VRAD_LNC000499)
Source: RNAcentral